Rosa chinensis is the source of this 1432-nucleotide long non-coding RNA. RefSeq lists it as uncharacterized. The transcript has 5 exons. The record is from RefSeq and is a predicted model, not a curated record. Lineage: Eukaryota; Viridiplantae; Streptophyta; Magnoliopsida; Rosales; Rosaceae.
CCUGUGUCUAGUUAACUUGAUAAAUUAUAUUGAUUGAGGAGCAAUAGCCAGCGAUGGGUUCAAUGAGAGCAUAGGGAUUUGCGAUGAGAGCGGAAUUUGCCAUGCCAGUACCGGGAUUCGGUAAGAAUUUUAUUGACUAUUUGUCAUACAAGGAAAUGUAAUGAUAAAUUGUCAUACAAGUUUGAGGCAUUAGGCUGAAAUUACGGUUUACCUGAGUUAUUCUCACAUAUAACUUUUAUCUAGGCUGUUAUGUCGGUGUAGGAAGGCUGUUAAGAGGAUUAUUAUGAUGUCAAAGCUAGUGUGAGUAGAUUACAUUCAUGAUUUAUUGUAUUUAUUGGCUGUAUUUGGCUUACGAUGGCGUGUUUCUUACAUGGGGGAUUUUAAAUUGAACAACUUUCAAGAUGGUGUUCUAUCAUCUGUGUUUAUGGUUGGGCUUCUCAUGGCCUCACCCAUCUUUGCAUUCUUGGCAAAGAGGUGAGUACUUGUGUAACUGGAUGAGCUGUGAAUUUAUUCGAGAUGUGAUUUAGCCGAUUUGAUUUAUAAGUUCAUGUGCGUUGUAGCCACAAUCCUUUUAGGCUGAUUGGAGUUGGGCUAUCUAUUUGGACAUUUGCCAUAGCUGGGUGUGGUAGUUCAUUUAAUUUAUGAUCCAUUGCAAUAUGUCGCAUGCUGGUUGGAGUCGGUGAGGCAUCUUUCAUAAGUCUUGCAGCUCCAUUCAUUGAUGACCAUGCCCCUGCAGAUUAGAAAUCAGCAUGGCUGGCAAUAUUUUACAUGUGUAUACCGACUGGAGUUGCUAUAGGCUAUGUUCUGGUGGAUUUGUGGGAGAGAGCAUCAAUUGGCGUUGAGCAUUCUGGGGAGAGGCCCUUCUAAUGCUUCCCUUUGCUGUCUUGGUUUUUGCGGUGAAACCAUUGCAGCUGAAAGGUUUACCUCCUACUGAAUCGACAGAGCUUUUGGAAUCUAUUGAAACUAGUCCUUUAAUAGCAGGUAUUGCAGGUUCUAUUAUUGUUUGGCAAUGCUGCAUCUAUAGUGAGAAAUCCCACUUGCACAUUUUGCUUUGUGGCAUCAGACUUCAACAAGUCAAUAUAAACGCUGAUCACCUGCAAUUGGGUCAUUAGAUUUUCCAUCAGAAUAGUAUAAGUGAACAAGAUAAAAGUAAAUUGCAUGAAAUACGAAUAUUACUGGGGGACAGUAAUCAUUAUAUUGGGCCCCAAUAAUUCAUUAAAUGGGGUCUUUAAUUGAAAGACUUACAUCAGUUUCGAUCUCCCCCUCUUGGAUGAUUACUCUGAGGUCAUGCUUGGUGAUCCGGCAUAGAAGAUCAAUGCUGAUCCAGACUCAGUUAUGUUCAAACAGAAACAUUUGAUUCCAAUGCAGAUGUAAUCAGUAUGAAAUACAGAAAUUGAAUUGUUGUACCAUAUUAAACCAGGUUGUGUACUUA